GGGGCUGACAAAGCUUAGACGGACUGUUAACAGAUUUGAUGCGUGCCGAUUAAAUACCGUAAGUAUUGAAUAAGUGCUAAAAACACUAAAGCUAUGCAUGUUGCAUACAUGCCAGCUUAUGCUUAAGAUAUUUUAAGCUGGUCUUUGUGUGAGGUUCCAUAGCAUAAAGAUUAUCAUAUUAUGGGAAUAAGGUUAUUUUAGUGGCGAAAAAUAACCCGAAAACUAGCCUGCGCAUUUAUCAGUUUCGUUUUCUGCAGCUGAUGAUAUUUGCUAAGACAAAACAGGAAACUAUACACGUAGAUUCAGAUCCCAGUGAUAGCUCGGACCCGGAGGCAGUAUCCGGCAGCUCCACCA
This 354-nucleotide transfer-messenger RNA is filed under the name Candidatus Saccharimonadota bacterium. It matches the Rfam family "transfer-messenger RNA". From Rfam's summary of the family: Bacterial tmRNA, also known as 10Sa RNA or SsrA, is named for its dual tRNA and mRNA-like properties. The record is from RNAcentral. Lineage: Bacteria; Candidatus Saccharimonadota.